Molecule: small nucleolar RNA, 132 nt
Organism: Acomys russatus (golden spiny mouse)
Lineage: Eukaryota; Metazoa; Chordata; Mammalia; Rodentia; Muridae
Product: small nucleolar RNA SNORA17
Exons: 1
Source: RefSeq, a predicted model, not a curated record
CCUAUCCCUGUAGGCUUAGCAGGAGUGGCUGCUGUGUCACCUGUACGUCAGUAGGUGGCAGAAAGGAGAGAGGCUGUGUCUUUGCUCAGUGUUCUCACCUGUGAACAGCUGAAUGAUUAGUCGCCUAACAUU